This 444-nucleotide ribosomal RNA is filed under the name uncultured Bacillus sp. Its description in RNAcentral is "bacterial SSU rRNA". It matches the Rfam family "Bacterial small subunit ribosomal RNA", at positions 47 to 484 of the family's 1533-position model. The record is from RNAcentral. Lineage: Bacteria; Bacillati; Bacillota; Bacilli; Caryophanales; Bacillaceae.
AGCUAUACAUGCAGUCGAGCGAACAGAGAAGGAGCUUGCUCCUUUGACGUUAGCGGCGGACGGGUGAGUAACACGUGGGCAACCUACCUUAUAGUUUGGGAUAACUCCGGGAAACCGGGGCUAAUACCGAAUAAUCUGUUUCACCUCAUGGUGAAAUAUUGAAAGACGGUUUCGGCUGUCGCUAUAGGAUGGGCCCGCGGCGCAUUAGCUAGUUGGUGAGGUAACGGCUCACCAAGGCGACGAUGCGUAGCCGACCUGAGAGGGUGAUCGGCCACACUGGGACUGAGACACGGCCCAGACUCCUACGGGAGGCAGCAGUAGGGAAUCUUCCACAAUGGGCGAAAGCCUGAUGGAGCAACGCCGCGUGAGUGAAGAAGGAUUUCGGUUCGUAAAACUCUGUUGUAAGGGAAGAACAUGUACUGUAGUAUCUGGCUGUACCUUGAA